Molecule: ribosomal RNA, 497 nt
Filed under: uncultured bacterium
Lineage: Bacteria
Description: partial 16S ribosomal RNA
Rfam family: Bacterial small subunit ribosomal RNA
Source: RNAcentral
GACGAACGCUGGCGGCGUGCCUAAUACAUGCAAGUAGAACGCUGAAGAGAGGAGCUUGCUCUUCUUGGAUGAGUUGCGAACGGGUGAGUAACGCGUAGGUAACCUGCCUUGUAGCGGGGGAUAACUAUUGGAAACGAUAGCUAAUACCGCAUAACAAUGGAUGACACAUGUCAUUUAUUUGAAAGGGGCAAUUGCUCCACUACAAGAUGGACCUGCGUUGUAUUAGCUAGUAGGUGAGGUAAUGGCUCACCUAGGCGACGAUACAUAGCCGACCUGAGAGGGUGAUCGGCCACCCUGGGACUGAGACACGGCCCAGACUCCUACGGGAGGCAGCAGUAGGGAAUCUUCGGCAAUGGGGGCAACCCUGACCGAGCAACGCCGCGUGAGUGAAGAAGGUUUUCGGAUCGUAAAGCUCUGUUGUAAGUCAAGAACGGGUGUGAGAGUGGAAAGUUCACACUGUGACGGUAGCUUACCAGAAAGAGACGGCUAACUACGUG